ACUUUAGCUCAGCUGGAUUAGAGCAUCGGCCUUCUAAGCCGACGGUCGGAGGUUCGAGUCCUCUAAGU
This 68-nucleotide transfer RNA is filed under the name uncultured Treponema sp. It matches the Rfam family "tRNA". From Rfam's summary of the family: Transfer RNA (tRNA) molecules are approximately 80 nucleotides in length. Their secondary structure includes four short double-helical elements and three loops (D, anti-codon, and T loops). The record is from RNAcentral. Lineage: Bacteria; Pseudomonadati; Spirochaetota; Spirochaetia; Treponematales; Treponemataceae.